This is a long non-coding RNA of Gossypium raimondii (Peruvian cotton), 882 nucleotides long. RefSeq lists it as uncharacterized. The transcript is spliced from 2 exons. The record is from RefSeq and is a predicted model, not a curated record. NCBI's taxonomy places the organism in Eukaryota, Viridiplantae, Streptophyta, Magnoliopsida, Malvales, Malvaceae.
UUGACCAUUUGUGGAAAAAACUGCAGGCAAAAACGCCAACCACCGUAUUCAUUAAGUCGUACAACACCAUGCACGCUCAUGCACCCUCUUUCUACAUAUAAACCCUUCCUUUUUUUUCAAAGGCUCAAACCUAACUAUCUUUUUAAGUUUUACCCUCAAGUUUCCAGCUGAAGUACUUGUCUUUCCAUGCUGUUUUCUUUUUGGGGGUAUUUUCUAGGGGUUCUUAGAGGCUUUGUUGCAGAGCCAAUUUGGCAUUCUGUCCACCUCCAUUGAUGUACUUCUUCUUACCUACCCAACUUAUAAAAUGAUUUGUCUUUGAAGUAAUGGAGGCGGCCAGUAUGUCAAAUAGACUCUGUAAAUUUCUCUCUGAGAAACCCUAAGAGAGGUUAAUGAAAUACCCCUUCACCCUUUCAUGUUUGCCGAGGCAAGGAUCAGUCUUUUCGUUUUUUUUCCAUUUGCUGCUGCAAGUGCAACCUUGAAUUUCUGCGCACGUACUGAAGCUCUUAAGGUAUACAAUUCCGACAAGCUUUGGAUUCCCGGAAGCAAUAUCUUGGAAAGUGGCGUAAAUCCCAGAGUUCCAUUUUUGGUGAAAGUAGUGUUUUUUUCUUCUGGUAAUUGAGGGUUCGCAGAUGAUUCAAACUAAUUUAUGUUUGCAAUAAAAAAAACCCUAAACCAAACACACAAUCAUGAGUUGGGAAAAUUAAACAUGCCGUUUUGCUAAAACGGACAGGAUAAUUUGCUUCAACAGAAGAAUCUCAAAGUAAAUAAUUAUUAGAGUAAGGGUGGGUUUGUAUGGACAAUAUAUUUAUUUGUUGUACUAUUAGAUACUGUUGUACUGUAACAUGAAACAAAAAAAUAAACUAAACGCACUGUACUGCACCA